Ixodes scapularis (black-legged tick) is the source of this 82-nucleotide non-coding RNA. The record is from Rfam. NCBI's taxonomy places the organism in Eukaryota, Metazoa, Arthropoda, Arachnida, Ixodida, Ixodidae.
GCAGCCGUGGCCGAGUGGUUAAGGCGAUGGACUAGAAAUCCAUCGGGGUCUCCCCGCACAGGUUCGAGUCCUGUCGAAUGCG